CGCCGCCCGCCGCCCUCCCGCCCCUGCGUGCGGGGCCCGCUGGCCGGCUCUCGCAGUCUCCGCGCCACCCCCGCGGGGACCCCGAAUCUCUCCGGUCUCCGCGGCGGUGUAGGUCGGUGCUGAAGGGGGUGCUCUGGGCGGCGGGCCCAACUCCUGCAGCUCCGCCGGCCGCCACUGGGGGCUGCCGCGCGGGCGAGCUCGGCGGGGACAGUGCGCACGGCCCGGGGUUCCCGGGCACCUCCGGCCGCUGGGCUUUCUCCGCCGCCGGCCCCGCGCUGCCUCCGCAGCCAGCCCGGCUCCCUCCCGGAUCUAAUAAGCCGCUCAGGGAUCUCCCCGCGUGGACGUCCGAGGCCACCAUCUGCCUGCUUUCGCCGGAGCCAGAGGGGUUAGCUCGAGCCUGUCUCGGGCGGGGAAGGAUGCGUGGCCGAGCCGGGGAGCCCGGGCGCCCCGCGGAGCCGGCCUCGGAGCCUCCCAGCCGUGGGUAGAUGCUGCCUUGCCCAGACUCAGCUGAAGGUCACACGUGAUCUACACACCUGCAGACCAUAGUGGUGGUGAUGAUGGUGGUGGGGAUGAAGACCGCUUGAGAAAUGUUCCUGAACACUGGAAAAAAAAGAAAAAAAAGAAAAAAAACAAUGUUCUCUCAUGCUGCUUUCCCAGACCCCUCCUCCGUCCCAUUACUAAGCUGACAUCUUACCGUCUUACCCAAAUGUAAACUGACCGGAUGAAGAGAUUUGGGGGCUGUAGUCCCCAUUUAGGGGCCGCUGACCCUAAAGAAACUAUGUAAUCUUCCUUCUGGCCUGGUUACUUGCAUCACGGGGGCUGAGCUGGCGAGAAGGGGAAGCGAGGAGAGGACUUAGAAUAAACAUAAUUCCCGGACCCUCUGUCUAGGCACGGAUUCUAAGCACAUGACAGAUGCGGGCCAUCACACUGUGGGGAGGACGGUUGCCCAGCCUUCGACUGCUGGCAGGAAGGAGCACAGGGGGGUUGCAAAUAGGCCGGGCAGGUUCCUGACACUUGAGAAGCCUUCUCUAAUGGGGAAAGGCCUGCUCCUUGUCCUGGGGCAGCUUAUGUCAAAGAGGAGGACGCAGCAGAUAAGCAUGGCACGUUAUGUGGGAACAAUUAGACACCAAACCACAGAGACGCA
RNAcentral lists this long non-coding RNA (1144 nucleotides) under Ailuropoda melanoleuca (giant panda). RNAcentral's name for it is "lncRNA (ENSAMEG00000028874.1)". The record is from RNAcentral. Lineage: Eukaryota; Metazoa; Chordata; Mammalia; Carnivora; Ursidae.